RNAcentral lists this long non-coding RNA (3073 nucleotides) under Homo sapiens (human). RNAcentral's name for it is "HSALNT0127354". Lineage: Eukaryota; Metazoa; Chordata; Mammalia; Primates; Hominidae. The record is from RNAcentral.
CCACUAUCAAGUAGACUUUAUUCCUGGGAUACAAGGUUGGUUCAACAUAUACAAAUUAAUAAAUGUGAUUCAUUACAUAAACAGAAGUAAAAACAAAAACCACAUGAUUAUCUCAAUACAUGCAGAAACGGCUUUUGCUUAAAUUCAACAUCCCUUCAUGUUAAAAACCCUCAAUGAACUAGGCAUUGAAGAAACACACCUCAAAAUAGUAAGAUCCAUCUAUGACAAACCCAUAGCCAACACCAUACUGAAUAGGCAAAAGCUAGAAGCAUUCCUCUUGUGAACUGGAACAAGACAAGGAUGCCCACUUUUACCACCCUUAUUCAACACAGUUCUGGAAGUCUUAGCCAGAGCAAUUGGGCAAGAGAAAGAAAUAAAAGGCAUCCAGAUAGGAAGAGAGGAAGUCAAACUAUCUGUCCUCAUAGACAAUAUGAUUCUAUAUCUAGAAAAUCCCAUAGUCUCUGCCCAAAGGCUCCUAGAACUUAUGACUAACAUUUCUAUGACUUGAAUUUUUUGCCUAUUGUUUAUCCAAAUACUCAUGUUCCAUUUUGAAAUAUUUUCUUAGCAUAGGUUUACAGUAAUGGAGUUAUAUGGCUCAAAGGACAUAACUAUUUUUUAGACUCUUGAUCCAUAUUGCCACAUUUUGUUCUGAAAAAGCUAUCCUAAUUUAGUGCCACCAGCUGUAUCAAUUAGUACGACUUUCACAAUACUCUUUCUACAAUUGGGUGCUGUCAUGUUAUAAAUUUAGCUAAUUUAAUAAUAAUUUAAUAUGCUAUAACAAAUGUUAUUUCACUAUAGUUUUUUCCCUGAUUAGUAGAAUGGUUAUUUUUCCAUUAUUUGUUUCUGGUUCAUCUUUUAUAAAUUAUCUAUUAAAAUAUUUUCUCCCUUUUGCAAUACUAUGUAUCUUAAUAGCAUAUUUUUAAAUCAAUUUGGGUGAGUUCUUUAUAGAAUGAAGACAUUAACAUUGUUAUAUUUACUCCAAUUGUUUUUUUUUUUUGGUCCUGUUCUUUUAUUUUGGUUAUCUUUGACUUAGAGAAGUUUUGAAAUUUAAUACAGCUAAUUCUGUCUACUUUUUAUAAAUGCUUAAGUUUAAAAAGUUGCCUAACCAAAAGAAAUAGAAAGGAAAGAAAGGAGAAAAUUUUCCUAUUGUCUGAGGUUGGUAAAUGUUACAUUUGUUCUUGUCUUCAGGCCUAGCCAUUGUGUUAGCUAGAUGAAUAUGCUCAACGGUCACAGCCAGCUCUCCUCAAGGAGGAAGCCGUAUGAGACAGGAUCAAUGCAUGAGUAGAGAGCUCAACUCUGAAGAGAAGAGCACCUCUUUCUCUGGGUUUAGAUGAACAAGGAUUUGGAUAAAUUGUGUAUUGAGGCAGAAGGCUGAGGUAGUGCCAUCUAGAGAGUGAGGGGAGGGAGAAUGGGUGUGAUAGGACAUCCUUGCCGAAUUUCUUUAUUAUAGACCCAAGCUCUCUUAACACUCACCAUGCAAUUACUAGUGUUUUCCCCCCUUGGAAAUAAACUGGGACUGUUAACUGUUGUUCUAGACUAAGACAUAUCAAGACUUUCCCGGGCUUUUAUCAAAAUGAGAAAAUUUACAUAAUUGACACAAAAGGGACUUGUAAACUGUUAAUAAUACCUGUAAAAUUCCUUUUAGAAUUCUAUAUAAAAAUUGUUUCUAUUGGCUCCUUACUGCUGCUACUAAAGAAGAAGAGCUUGACUGUUUAACCCUUCACAAACUUAUAGGAUUAAAAGUAGCUGGUCUCAUUGCUAAUCACUUCUGCACUAGUAGUGCAGAAGUACAAGUAAAAGAGCAGAUCUGGAUCUGGACCUCCUUGAAAACCACAUCCGGAGUUUGCAACCAGGUCCAGAUCCAGAUUUGCUCUUUUAUAUAAAGAAAAAAAUAAGCAAGAGAAGUGAAACCAGCGUAGUGGCAUCCAAAUAUUGUAUAAUUCUUUUUCAAUCUCUUAAAAUGCAUCAUCAUCAUACUUGCAUAUAGUUCUAUAAAGCCUCUGCAUAAAAUAGGAGCCCCUUGCAACAUCCCAGGUCACCAGCCAUUUUUACUCCUCAGAGACAACUAUUUUCAAUUUUUAAAAUUAUUUCUUAAUGUUUACCUUAUAUCUCUAAAUAAAAAAGUAUCUUUUAUGAUACUUUUUGAUUGUCAUUAAGUUUUAUGCAUUAUCUACUAAUAUCCCUUUAUGGAACAUGAGAAUUUAUUUUAUUCUCCACAUACAUGAAUUCCUUUACUCUCAUCCUUCCAGUAUAAUUAUAUGAUAAUUUGGGGCUAGAUCAAUUAUGUUUUACAUUUCCGUAACUAUGUAGAUAUGAUAAAUGGCUGACUCAUAUAGUAUAGUAUAGUUACAUUUACUUUCUUGUAUAAAAGGUUUCAGUUCUUUCUGGAGUUAUUAGCUUUUUCCACUUGCACAGCUUUCUAGGUACCUAACUCACCCAUCCCUUAACUCUGUUACAAAAGUGUAUGUCUCCCUUUAGUAAGGUUCAAACACAAUGAGCACUUCAUCGCCUUCAUCUUCUUGGAUGGAGACUGUUCAUUCUGUGAGCAGACUGGGCUGUUUAGUGUGGUUGUUCAGAUCAUCAUCCUCACUUCUAGGCUUUUGGCUCCUUAAUUGAUUGUGAAUGACAGAGGUAAACUCUAGAUAAGUGAUACAUGGGUUCAGAAUGUUGGGGAUUUUCUAGUAUUCUAUAGAAAUAGGAUCUAAAAUGUCUUAGCAAUCUCUUCUCUGGGAUGAAGUGUUUUAGUAGGUGCCAUCCUAAAUUUAAAGCCUGUUACUUUUCUUUUCAUCUCCCCUUUUCAUUUCCUUUAUCAGGAUAUCAAUAUCCUUAGCACAAGAUUCUAUAAAUAAAAUACUUCAUUCACUUAUUAACCUUUUCUCAAACUUUAGGUAAGGUAGCAGUAUUCCCCCCCCCACCCCACCAACAUAUUAAAUAAGUAAACACACAUUGAUAUCCAAUCUUGAAAAAAUUGCCAUAAAAAUAUAUUACUGGUGGCACUAAAACUGAAAUAAGACUCUCUGAACCCCCCUCACUUAAAAUCCUUGCCUGGCUGUUUCUAUUCAUCCUAAACAAU